UGCACACGUUUACUGGGAAAGCUUGAUUGC
This 30-nucleotide non-coding RNA is filed under the name Mus musculus (house mouse). The record is from RNAcentral. Lineage: Eukaryota; Metazoa; Chordata; Mammalia; Rodentia; Muridae.